RNAcentral lists this ribosomal RNA (494 nucleotides) under uncultured bacterium. Its description in RNAcentral is "partial 16S ribosomal RNA". It matches the Rfam family "Bacterial small subunit ribosomal RNA", at positions 28 to 507 of the family's 1533-position model. The record is from RNAcentral.
GACGAACGCUGGCGGCGCGCUUAACACAUGCAAGUCGAACGGAAAGGCCUGCUUUCCCUUGUGGAUUGCGGGUACUCGAGUGGCGAACGGGUGAGUAACACGUGAGUGAUCUGCCCCCAACUUGGGUAUAAGCCUGGGAAACUGGGUCUAAUUCCCGAUAGGACUGCAGGGUGGUGCCUGUGGUGGAAAACGAUGUUCUAGUGGUUGGGGAUGAGCUCGCGGCCUAUCAGCUUGUUGGUGGGGUAAUGGCCUACCAAGGCGGCGACGGGUAGCCGGCCUGAGAGGGUGGACGGCCACAUUGGGACUGCGAUACGGCCCAGACUCCUACGGGAGGCAGCAGUGGGGAAUAUUGCACAAUGGGCGGAAGCCUGAUGCAGCGACGCCGCGUGGGGGAUGACGGCCUUCGGGUUGUAAACUCCUUUCGACCGCGAGGAAGCCACCUGGUUGGAAGGGUGGUGACGGUAGUGGUAGAAGAAGCACCGGCUAACUACGUG